ACAUCAGUUCAAGAGAACAGCAAAUGCAAUAAUGACAAAGUAAAAGCAACAAUAAAUCACCACAAAGAAAAAACCCCCCAAACAGCCCCUAGAAACCAAAACGACUGUGGAACCCAGAUGAAUAAUCUUCCUGAAUUCUUCCUCACCACUACUGCAUGAAACUAGAUGAACAAACUCAGAGAGAAUCAGCUUUGAUAGCCUCCAAGGAGUACCAGAUAAACAUUCCCCAUUCCACAAAGCUAACUAUUGUUACCCAUAUCCCUAUGUAACCACUUAUGCCAGUCAGCAGCCACUAUUCGAUCUACCGCAGCCGGCGCUUCCUCUACCCAGUACAUUGGCUCCGAGAACCGACGUCCUUCACCCGCAAGGACAUGCGCCGCCAUGUUAGCGUCUCUUCUAACAAAUCGGAAGCUCGGAAACCCAUCUCUACCGCAAAUAUAACCUUCCUUUCACACGCUCGAGCCUCUGCUAUAAACGCGUCAGCUAUACCAAUAUGUAGGUAAGUGCAUGCUCCCAUUAUCUGGCCCGAGUCAUUUCUAGCUAUAGUCCCAGAAAUGGAACCUUUGCUUGCUGCAUGAAACGACGCAUCAAAGUUAAUCUGUAUGCUACCCAUUUCUGGAGGCCUCCAUAAUUCUUGUUUAGCAAUCAACAGUGGUUCCAUCUAGUUUUUAUUUUUAAAAA
This is a long non-coding RNA of Gossypium arboreum, 681 nucleotides long. RefSeq lists it as uncharacterized. The transcript has 2 exons. Lineage: Eukaryota; Viridiplantae; Streptophyta; Magnoliopsida; Malvales; Malvaceae. The record is from RefSeq and is a predicted model, not a curated record.